Long non-coding RNA from Dalotia coriaria, 929 nucleotides. RefSeq lists it as uncharacterized. The record is from RefSeq and is a predicted model, not a curated record. NCBI's taxonomy places the organism in Eukaryota, Metazoa, Arthropoda, Insecta, Coleoptera, Staphylinidae. The transcript is spliced from 3 exons.
AGUAGAUUCCUAAACACACAUAACCUUAACAAUAGGCAACCCAAUAUACACCAAAAUUGAAUUCACAGUUUAGUAUAACCUAAGAGUGAUUCGACAUUAUUUGUGAAACUCGAGCAAAUAUUGUGUGCUGACAAUUAAAACUUAUUAAUUAAGUACAUAGAAGGAGAUGCAACUGGAGACGACAGCGUAGGUCGGCGUCAAGUCCAGGGCGCAAGUGGGAUAGUUCUGCCCGCCGGCGUGGUAAACGGUCGGUUGUGGCGGUCGAUGCAAGCCGAGCGAAAUCGGCACGAACGAAAUCAGCGCCGAUGCCAGCCAGAUCGUCGCAAUGGAGCCAACGGCGACGCGUCUCGUCACCCAUCUACCGUACCUGUUCAACAAUAGAAGCAAACUUUACAAUGAGAGCGGAUUACGCCUGCAGGACGAACACACGAAGCACACGAUUGUGUGUGAUUUUGAUUAGCUUCAAGCGAGGAAUUCAUAUACUAACGAAUUCAUCAUUUGUAAAUUGAAUUGUCGAAAGUAAUUAGAAGUUUGCCGGCUAAUUGGUGUCAAUUUCGCAAAACGCAGCACCGCACGCUGAAUUCGGGGAUUAAUGUGAAGCGCGUCAUUGUGCGCUCGCGCGGUUCGACGCUUCAACAAGUCCACACCGCAAAGUUAUCACGGCCAAGUUUAAUCCACAAUUGGAAUGAAAUUAUAUUCUGCAUUCGGUGCGUUCAUCAUAUUUGGGGUAAACACAUCCGAUGGGCGGUUAUUAUUCAUAGUCAAUUCGUUGUCAAGUGGCGAGUUGUGGAAUUUACACAUUCAUCAUUUCACAAUUUUGGAAUUAACAAGAAAGAUAUAUUUUCUGCCAAGUCAUCCAAAAAGAUUGGAAAUUUUAGUCUAAAGUAAUAGGAAAUGCAAGUAUUGCAUACCAGCGCCAUCUGGGUGUG